This is a long non-coding RNA of Ruditapes philippinarum (Manila clam), 2652 nucleotides long. RefSeq lists it as uncharacterized. The record is from RefSeq and is a predicted model, not a curated record. NCBI's taxonomy places the organism in Eukaryota, Metazoa, Mollusca, Bivalvia, Venerida, Veneridae. The transcript is spliced from 3 exons.
ACAGGUUGAUAUGUCUUAAUCAAUUAUUUACUCAUGCAUCAACAAAUAUGUAAACCUUAAGGAAAAAAUGAUUAAUUUAUGUCAACAGAUUCUACAUCUUAUCGCAAUAUCUAAUCUGAAUAUUACAAAUGAUCAUAAUUAGCCCUAAUUAAUUCAGUUUGCUACAAAGAAAUAGGCGAUAAAGUCCGAGUAAUCCAAUAGCUUAGGACCUAUCUAUUUAUAGGGAGUACUCAGGGGAGGUUAUUCACUACUGUCCCUCAUUGGGAUGACAAUUACUUCUUAUAUCAAAUUUAUAGCUGUUCAUUCUUUUUGAUACCUGUUGAUGGGUCUGGCCGACAUAUUGUAUUUUACAUUUUUUACAAGUAAUUAAAUAAAUCACGUUACUAGAAGUACAAUUUCCAUCAAAAUGCAUUUCGAAUGUUUCUCCAAUAUUUGUAGUUGUGAAUUUACUAUUUUCUUCAAUAUUAUUACAGUGAGUACAUCUUUUUCUAUUACACUUAUUAGUUUUACCGUUCAUAAUCCGUUUAUUUAGAGUUGAAUGGGUAAGGGAAUCUUGAAGAUUUUUGGGACGGCUGUAUGCUAAGAUUGGUUUAUGAUUAUGUAAAUUUUUAACACUGUCAUUUUCUGACAACAUUAAAAGAUCCCAGUAUUUAUUUAUUAUAAGACCAAGAUGGGGAAGAGACGGAUUAUAUGGGAUAACAAAUGAUUCGGAAUAAAGAUCAGACGCCAAUACUGACACAGAAGGCGGAAGAAGCCAGCCGGUGUCUGUUUACCCAUGUCACGGUCAAGGUGGGGACCAGUUUUGGUUGCUAAGCGCCGACAACGAGUUCAGACGUGACGAAUACUAUUAGGAUACGCCAGACGGUGUACAGGUCAAAAUAUACGGUUGUCAUGGGGCAAAGGUCAUCAAGAAUUUUUUUACAGAAGUGUAAGUGAAAGAAAAAGGACAAGAAUAUAAGUGACAAAAUGGUUACUUUAAGACUGAACCAUUCUGAAACCAAGGAUACUUGUUUGUUUUUGUGUAAAAUGAAAUGAAAUUAUAUCUUACACGAAAGACAAAUAUAUUUUCUUUUUAUCUUUAAUAUGCUUAAUUUGAUACUAAUUAAAUCACAUAGAGGAUAUUUGUUUAGUUCAGUGUAAGAUCGGAAUAUAUUUCACCGAGUGAGCACCAAAAGGAAUAUUUCACGAGUGGCGCAGCCACGAGUGAAAUAUGAACUUUUGGUGUCCACAAGGUGAAAUAUAUUUCAAUCUUACACUAAACUAAACAAAUUUUCUUUUUAUAACAUGCAAAGAAACGUUUUAAAUAGACAUUUAACCUAAUACUGAAUGAAAAGCGCGCCAAAUAAUAAUACAACGUGACGUCAUUUACGACGUCACGUCAUUAAGUGGGUACCCAAUACUGUGCACGCUGGUAUUUCACUGAAACAACGUAAGGGGCUUAAAUUCAAAACAGUGAAAUUAACAAAGUGUUAAUUUCACUGUUUCAAACAGUGAAAUUACCAGUUUUAUAUCACUGAUAUAUAGAGGAUAUUUGUUUGUUUGUGUGUAAGAUGAAAUUUUAUUUCAUCGAGUGGGCUUUAAAAACAGUAUUCUCACGACUGGCGUAGCCACGAGUGAGAAUACUGUUUUUAAAGUUUACGAGAUGAAAUAAAAUUACAUCUUACACAACAAACAGACAAAUUUUCUUUUUAUUUUAUGCUUUAAAACAAGUUAAAACGAAAUUUCCAUAAUUUUAACGUUAAUAUUAAAACUGUUUCCCCCAUUGAGAGCCCCAUUCAGAGGGAAUUUCUCAUUAAAAACGUGAUAUUUAUUCAUUUUAUUAAAAAAAUAUGAAUGAUCGCUUGUUUUAAUAAUAAAAACAAACAAUUCUUGUAGGAGAAAAAGUCCAACCAUCCAUCCAUAUUUCUGUUACUUACUGCGAAUUUAUAUUAGACCUGGCUUUGUAAACUGUAAGCGGCAGCCAUAUUUUAAAGUUGUGUAUUUAAUGGGAGGAAAAUAAUUGUGUAAGAUUCCGAAGGAUAUAAUUUGGAUUUGUUAGUCAUACACCUUUUUAAAAGAAAGAAAACUUAUUUGAGGAAUGUAACAGACAAAAAAUAAGUGUUGACAGAAGUGAAAACAUUCAGAAAAGGAGCUAGGAAAAUGGAAAACUUGGAAGCUUGCUAAGGCAUUGUAAAGAACGCUGGGUUGUUUUACUUAUUUUACGAGUGAUGGCUGUCAAUGCUUUUCAAUUUUUUUCAUAAAGCAUACGGCAGUUAUUGCUCGUAGGAUACUUUAAUAUGCCCAAAUGUCAUCAAGAGCAGUUUAGCAUGGGGAAGGAAUGUAUUUUUCAGACAGUAAAAACGAAACAAAAAAAAUCUAGAGACGAAAUUUUGUGAUUGGAAUUUGAAGGAAUAGAAGUAAGUUUUCUCUCUUUAUUACUUUUGACAUUUAAGUUAUUUAUCUAUUUCAGCUUUGCUAUUUUUUUAACAGCCUGAUAUUGUCAGAAUUGUCAGUAAAAAUAAAAUUGAGGUACCACAUGGGGAAAAUCUUAAAAAAGUAGUUUUGUCAUUGAAAAAAGUGAAAUUAUAUUUUGAUAAUUUUCACUGUGAAAUUAUCAAAUAUAAUUUUCACGGAUAAAUCAGUAAUCCACUGAAAAGCAUAAAAUAAAUUUCU